AUUUUUACUUUUUUGUUUAUAUAUCAAAGUGUAAUAUAGUGUAGCAUGUAGUUUCCAUUUAUUAUAAUUAUUCUUAAUAUUCUAUGUAAUUAAAUUUGUUAGAACAUAAUUUUAAUUUGUUAUAAGCAUUUGAUCUAAUUUAUCACAAGAUAUAACUAGCGAAGAGGAUUCAGAUCAAGAACAGGACGAAUCAACUUUACGUAUAUUCAGAUAUUUAGAUAAUACUGAAUUAGAAUAAAAAAAAUUAAAAACAAUUAUAUUUUUGCACUUGCUUAGUUGUAUUUUAGUUCUAUUAAUUAUACAAUUUAUUAUAUUUGGUCAAACGUCGAUUUAGAGACGUUUUUAAUUUUGGCCACGAAAAGCGGGUUCCUGGACCACUGUGCGACGGGAUAAUCCUGUUCAGACGUGUCGUCCGACAUUCACCAGAGCUCAACUAUAUUUGUCGACACCUGCCGGCGAAGGUCCGAAUGUAUAAUAAUAUUGAGAAAUAUUCGGUCUUUCGUCGACGUAUUUGCAACAUUUCAAACGAUGUACCUAAUGGAUAUUCCUUUAACAAGAGAGGAAGUACAAUUGAAAGAAACCAUUUAAAAAAUGUUGCUUGAUAACAUAUUUGUAUUUAAUGAAAUUGAAGUUUCUGAAGAAUCGUCAUUGGACUUUUUGGAUCAAUUUAAAGAAUGUGAGGUUGAGUCUGUUGAAGAACAUUAUGAUGCAGACGAAAAUUGGUCUGGGGAGACACAUAUUGGAGUUUGUUCACAGCGUGAUGAAGAUGUUGAUGUUGAUUACAAACGGAAAGCAGUUGCGUUUUGGACAGAGGGGAAAAAAAGACGUAAACUUGCUACCGUUCAACAUAAUUUUAGACUUGUGUCUUCUGAACGGCAAUUACGAAGAUGGGCUCAUAAAAUUGAAACAAGUGGAACUAAAAAAGAAAGAUUAGCUCAAAUUUCCGAGUUCGUGAUAACAAAUAUGAAAAAAGCUAUUGAAUCCGGUUAUAUUUUGCAUGAUAGAAAUAUUCGACGAUGGGCUGUGCAAGCAUAUAAAGAACAAGGUAACGAUCAUAUGACAUUUUAAGCUUCCAAAACAUGGCUGUAUAAUUUAAAAAAAAACUCAUCGUAUUGUUUCUCGAAAAAUAACAAAAUUUGUAACACGAAAGGCAAUAGAAGACGAUGAAGUAUUGAAAGUUAAAGCUACAGACAUUGUCAAUGAAGUAAACCCUUUGAUUACGAGAUACGGAGAUGAAAAUAUGUACAAUUCAAUUAGAAAUACAUUCUGGACGAACUUUAGCGGUGAAAAGCCAAUAGAAAGUAGAGCGUGUUGUACAAUCUGUACAUUGAACAACGCAUAGUUACACAAUACAACCAAUAAUAACUGCUGAUGGAAGAUUAUUGUCGCCCCUUUUUGUGUUUUUGUAAGAAGCAAAUGGACAAUUUGGACCAAUAGUUCAAAAAACAUUAUUCAAACCGACUAAUGUGUACGUGACUGCAUCAAAAUCUGGGAAACUCACUUCUGCUCAUUUCAAAAUCUGGUUGAAAGAGGUCUUUUUUCCUAAUACUAAAACAACGUCUGUGUUGUUAUUAUACUCUUGAAGUGGACACUUUGAACAAGAUAUACAUAAUGCGAAACCAACGGGUAAAGAAAUUAUAAUUAAGAUACCAAAAGGUACCACUGGCCGAAUCCAACCUCUAGAUGUUUAUGGAUUUAGGGUGUGGAAGAAUUAUGUUUCUUCGAUGAUGUGCUGUUACAUGAUUACGAUGUUAAUUUUUAUUUAAGAAAUAAUAUAAUUAAGUUACAAUCACUUGUACACAAUCAACUGUCUUCACCAAGAUAUAAAAAUCUAUUCCAGUAUGCUUGGUACAAAAGUGGAUACACAGAAAAAGAAUCAGGAGAUUUUGUGAAUCCUGUAGAUUUUGCUUUUGAACAGAACGCACAAUACCGGUAAUUAGAUGCUCUUGGUGUAAAAAAGCAUUUUGUUUAAAACAUUUUUUUCAUGAAUAUCACUUCUGCGACAAAUAUGAAUAUUAAGUGAACCAUUUUGUAAACUGCAUGUAUCUUAUAAAAGCUUCAGAUUAUAAAUUUAUAUCACAUAUGCAUACCUAACAUACACGUGAAAUAUAAUUGCACCAAUCAUGUUACUAGUACCGGAAAUUAAUUUACAUAUCGCAUAUUAAUACAUAGAUAUGUACUAAUAUAAUUGUUAUUAAUAUUGUAAGCUUUAAAUAACUGUAUUAAUGCCUAGUAUACAUGGUAAACGUUAGAUAUCGUAAUGGAUAUUAACCGUACAUCCAUAUCUGGUAUGACCGCGACCCGGUGUAUGUGAACGAUGCAUAUUUUAUUUUAAAAUAUGCAAAAAUGUAAAAGGCAAACAUAGCAUAUAAUACAUCAAUGGAUUCAGAAACAAAUUUAUGUUUCUUUUUUGUUAUUAUGUAAGUUAUGAUUACUUUUAAAAUAAUGUUAUAAACAAAUUAUUUUUUACAAAAUUUAUGACCUGCUGUUAUAUGUUCAUGAAAAACCAUGAAACUUUUCCUUCGAAAGUUUUUUUCUAUCUAUAAUAGUUUCCGAGAUAGCCUAUUGUAGCCGAAACUUCAGGGGGUCGUUUCACCCUCUAAAUAUGAAAACGGGCAAAAAUAAAAAAAUACGUAUACCUUACUUUUCGGUCCUUUAAAACAUAUCCAAAAAUCAAAACAAUCGGAGGCGGACACCUAAAAACCCUUCCUUGCUAGUCGGACAUUAGCUAUAUCUAAAAGAACUGAAAUGUGACAAAAUUGUUUCAACCGUCAAAACAAAGGAGAGGAUAAAACAAACAACGUGCAACAUUUACUCGCUUCUAUCGCGUCUCCAUAGGCAGUAAAAUCAGUUAAUCGUUGACAUUCAAAUUCAAAGCAGUGCAUUGUUUGAAAUAAAGAGUGUUGUAUUUACCACAAUUUUGUGAGAGAAAGUCGUGAGUAGUGUUAUUGUAAAUUCUUCAUCGGAGUUUUUGGAAUGAAGAGGAUUUGAAAACUGCAAUUAACAAAGUUAUUGCAAGAAAAAUGAGCUUGAGAGAAGCAUCUUUAAAAUACAGUAUCCCAGAAAGCACAUUAUCUGAUAAGAUAACGGCUUUAAAGUCUGGGAAAGAAAUAAUAUUAAAACCUAAGCUAGGUGCAUUUACCACAAUUUUUCCAGUAGAAUAUGAAAAUCAAUUGGUAAAUCAUAUAAAAGACGUAGGUAAUCGGUGUUUGCCACUGACGAAAAGAGAAUUUUUAAAGCUGGCAUAUGACUUAACAGUAAAAAAGAAAAUAAAGAAAACCAAAGCAGUGAAACCGGAAGAUAUAAACGAAAAAACUCUUCGUGUGGUUUGUUUGGAGACGAAUGACGAGGACUGGAUACAAUGCUUAAAGUGUCAAGAAUGGGCUCACGAAGCUUGUGCCGAUAUACCAGAAUGUUCUGAUGAUUAUACAUGUGAUCGUCGUAAAUUAUUUUAGUAUUAUCGUACAAUAAUUUAAACAUAUUUGAUAUAUCCGAUAUUAGGUGCCACUCUCCACUUCAUUCAAAUCAAUAACCU
Molecule: non-coding RNA, 3535 nt
Organism: Osmia lignaria (orchard mason bee)
Lineage: Eukaryota; Metazoa; Arthropoda; Insecta; Hymenoptera; Megachilidae
Source: RefSeq, a predicted model, not a curated record